UGAGAAUGUGCCUUCGGGAACCGUGAGACAGGUGCUGCAUGGCUGUCGUCAGCUCGUGUUGUGAAAUGUUGGGUUAAGUCCCGCAACGAGCGCAACCCUUAUCCUUUGUUGCCAGCGGUCCGGCCGGGAACUCAAAGGAGACUGCCAGUGAUAAACUGGAGGAAGGUGGGGAUGACGUCAAGUCAUCAUGGCCCUUACGACCAGGGCUACACACGUGCUACAAUGGCGCAUACAAAGAGAAGCGACCUCGCGAGAGCAAGCGGACCUCAUAAAGUGCGUCGUAGUCCGGAUUGGAGUCUGCAACUCGACUCCAUGAAGUCGGAAUCGCUAGUAAUCGUGGAUCAGAAUGCCACGGUGAAUACGUUCCCGGGCCUUGUACACACCGCCCGUCACACCAUGGGAGUGGGUUGCAAAAGAAGUAGGUAGCUU
This 429-nucleotide ribosomal RNA is filed under the name Escherichia coli. RNAcentral's name for it is "bacterial SSU rRNA". It matches the Rfam family "Bacterial small subunit ribosomal RNA", at positions 1007 to 1436 of the family's 1533-position model. RNAcentral also lists the same sequence under 1 other name. Lineage: Bacteria; Pseudomonadati; Pseudomonadota; Gammaproteobacteria; Enterobacterales; Enterobacteriaceae. The record is from RNAcentral.